RNAcentral lists this ribosomal RNA (301 nucleotides) under uncultured bacterium. RNAcentral's name for it is "partial 16S ribosomal RNA". It matches the Rfam family "Bacterial small subunit ribosomal RNA", at positions 509 to 809 of the family's 1533-position model. The record is from RNAcentral.
CAGCAGCCGCGGGAAUACGAAGGGUGCAAGCGUUAAUCGGAAUUACUGGGCGUAAAGCGUGCGUAGGCGGUUUGUUAAGUCUGUUGUGAAAUCCCCGGGCUCAACCUGGGAAUGGCAAUGGAUACUGGCAAGCUAGAGUGUGUCAGAGGAUGGUGGAAUUCCCGGUGUAGCGGUGAAAUGCGUAGAGAUCGGGAGGAACAUCAGUGGCGAAGGCGGCCAUCUGGGACAACACUGACGCUGAGGCACGAAAGCGUGGGGAGCAAACAGGAUUAGAUACCCCUGUAGUCCCUGUCUCUUAUAA